This 497-nucleotide ribosomal RNA is filed under the name uncultured bacterium. RNAcentral describes it as "partial 16S ribosomal RNA". It matches the Rfam family "Bacterial small subunit ribosomal RNA", at positions 28 to 507 of the family's 1533-position model. The record is from RNAcentral.
GAUGAACGCUGGCGGCGUGCCUAAUACAUGCAAGUCGAGCGAACGGACGAGAAGCUUGCUUCUCUGAUGUUAGCGGCGGACGGGUGAGUAACACGUGGAUAACCUACCUAUAAGACUGGGAUAACUUCGGGAAACCGGAGCUAAUACCGGAUAAUAUUUUGAACCGCAUGGUUCAAAAGUGAAAGACGGUCUUGCUGUCACUUAUAGAUGGAUCUGCGCUGCAUUAGCUAGUUGGUAAGGUAACGGCUUACCAAGGCAACGAUGCAUAGCCGACCUGAGAGGGUGAUCGGCCACACUGGAACUGAGACACGGUCCAGACUCCUACGGGAGGCAGCAGUAGGGAAUCUUCCGCAAUGGGCGAAAGCCUGACGGAGCAACGCCGCGUGAGUGAUGAAGGUCUUCGGAUCGUAAAACUCUGUUAUUAGGGAAGAACAUAUGUGUAAGUAACUGUGCACAUCUUGACGGUACCUAAUCAGAAAGCCACGGCUAACUACGCG